Molecule: long non-coding RNA, 493 nt
Filed under: Physcomitrium patens
Lineage: Eukaryota; Viridiplantae; Streptophyta; Bryopsida; Funariales; Funariaceae
Description: long non-coding RNA (PPAT_LNC001470)
Source: RNAcentral
CAGUCUCUUCCUUACAGCAAUUCAGUCAUACCAAUAACUGUUAUUUCCACCAAUAUAUUCACCCUCAUAAUCUCCAACUCUAAUACUGCGCCCUCAUAGCUUUCAACACACAAUUAUCCUCGUUCCAAUCACUGGAAUUCUUUACAUAGAACUGCCAUUCACAUUACAGUGUUUCACACAAACACAGACUCAUUCUCUCUGCUGAACUAUAAUCAGAUUUCAGCAUUCAAUCUUUCUUCUUCUCAAAUAAUACCAAUCGCAUUUCCAUUCCAUAAUUCACUUCACAAUAUUCAGAAACUUUCAAUCCUCUUAUUCAAAGAAAAUAACAAACAAAAGAAAAGAGGUAGCACCAAGCUUACCUCGGCUCACAACUCUCACAGUCUGGCAUUUUCUUCCCCUCUCCCAUCCUCCUUAUACUACUCCGAGAUACCAACUCCUAUACUAUAGAUGAUAAUUACUUUUCCUGACUAUUCAUCCAUUCUACCUGCUGAAC